GAGGGUAUAGCUUAGUGGUAGAGCAUAUGCUCAGCAUGCACAAGGUCCUAGAUUCAAUCCUCAGUACCUCCA
Molecule: transfer RNA, 72 nt
Organism: Camelus ferus (Wild Bactrian camel)
Lineage: Eukaryota; Metazoa; Chordata; Mammalia; Artiodactyla; Camelidae
Rfam family: tRNA
About the family: Transfer RNA (tRNA) molecules are approximately 80 nucleotides in length. Their secondary structure includes four short double-helical elements and three loops (D, anti-codon, and T loops). Further hydrogen bonds mediate the characteristic L-shaped molecular structure. tRNAs have two regions of fundamental functional importance: the anti-codon, which is responsible for specific mRNA codon recognition, and the 3' end, to which the tRNAs corresponding amino acid is attached (by aminoacyl-tRNA synthetases). tRNAs cope with the degeneracy of the genetic code in two manners: having more than one tRNA (with a specific anti-codon) for a particular amino acid; and 'wobble' base-pairing, i.e. permitting non-standard base-pairing at the 3rd anti-codon position.
Source: Rfam